RNAcentral lists this non-coding RNA (144 nucleotides) under uncultured Lachnoclostridium sp. RNAcentral's name for it is "FMN riboswitch (RFN element)". It matches the Rfam family "FMN riboswitch aptamer (RFN element)". From Rfam's summary of the family: The RFN element is a highly conserved domain that is found frequently in the 5'-untranslated regions of prokaryotic mRNAs that encode for flavin mononucleotide (FMN) biosynthesis and transport proteins. This element is a metabolite-dependent riboswitch that directly binds FMN in the absence of proteins. The record is from RNAcentral. Lineage: Bacteria; Bacillati; Bacillota; Clostridia; Lachnospirales; Lachnospiraceae.
AGUCUUCGGGGUCGGGUGAAAGUCCCAACCGGCGGUAUAGUCCGCGACCCGCGGCCGCACAGGAAGCGCCAGAGCGCAGGAGAGUGCGGGGCGGCUGAUUUGGUGCGAUUCCAAAACCGACAGUACAGUCUGGAUGAGAGAAGA